RNAcentral lists this ribosomal RNA (271 nucleotides) under uncultured bacterium. Its description in RNAcentral is "partial 16S ribosomal RNA". It matches the Rfam family "Bacterial small subunit ribosomal RNA", at positions 524 to 794 of the family's 1533-position model. The record is from RNAcentral.
CACGAACCGUACGAACGUUAUUCGGAAUUACUGGGCUUAAAGGGUUUGUAGGCGGCCUUGUAAGUCAGGUGUGAAAGCCCUCGGCUCAACCGAGGAACAGCGCUUGAUACUGCAAGGCUUGAGGGAGAUAGAGGUGAGCGGAACUUAGGGUGGAGCGGUGAAAUGCGUUGAUAUCCUAAGGAACACCGGUGGCGAAAGCGGCUCACUGGAUCUCUUCUGACGCUGAGGCACGAAAGCUAGGGUAGCGAACGGGAUUAGAUACCCUGGUAGU